RNAcentral lists this non-coding RNA (25 nucleotides) under Rattus norvegicus (Norway rat). The record is from RNAcentral. Lineage: Eukaryota; Metazoa; Chordata; Mammalia; Rodentia; Muridae.
UUUGAGAGGGCCUGGAUUAAACUGC